GCUCACCAGAUGUGGGGCUGUACGGAGUCGCUGCAGAGUGUGCAGAGACAUACCAGCGAGAGUUGGCAGAAGUCGAAAGGAGAAAAGUGGCCACAGGAGGCAGUGGCAGUGAACGGGUGAAACACUGGGUGAGAGGAGGCUGUCAUCAUUAUCAUAACGUGAGGACCAGAGAGGGAGGAUGGGAUGAGCCGACGGAAUUUGUGCAGAAUGACACACAGCUGUCACGGGAGGAGAUGCAGAGCACUGUAUCUGGAGUCACGGCAGCAUACGAGCGAGAGCAGUUGUGGCUGGCCAAAGAGAACCUGAUGGUGAAGCUUCAGGCACGUUGUCGAGGCUGUCUUGUCUGUCAGGAAUUCAACUCCAGAAUGAGGUUUUUGAAGAAGCAAGUUCCAGCCAUCACUUG
Molecule: long non-coding RNA, 403 nt
Organism: Tympanuchus pallidicinctus (lesser prairie-chicken)
Lineage: Eukaryota; Metazoa; Chordata; Aves; Galliformes; Phasianidae
Exons: 3
Source: RefSeq, a predicted model, not a curated record